AACGAAGGCUGGCGGCAUGCCUAACACAUGCAAGUCGAACGAGAUCUUCGGGUCUAGUGGCGCACGGGUGCGUAACGCGUGGGAAUCUGCCCUUUGGUUCGGAAUAACAGUUGGAAACGACUGCUAAUACCGGAUGAUGACGAAAGUCCAAAGAUUUAUCGCCAGAGGAUGAGCCCGCGUAGGAUUAGCUAGUUGGUGUGGUAAAGGAGCACCAAGGCGACGAUCCUUAGCUGGUCUGAGAGGAUGAUCAGCCACACUGGGACUGAGACACGGCCCAGACUCCUACGGGAGGCAGCAGUGGGGAAUAUUGGACAAUGGGCGAAAGCCUGAUCCAGCAAUGCCGCGUGAGUGAUGAAGGCCUUAGGGUUGCAAAGCUCUUUUACCCGGGAUGAUAAUGACAGUACCGGGAGAAUAAGCUCCGGCUAACUCCGUGCCAGCAGCCACAGUAA
This 449-nucleotide ribosomal RNA is filed under the name uncultured bacterium. Its description in RNAcentral is "partial 16S ribosomal RNA". It matches the Rfam family "Bacterial small subunit ribosomal RNA", at positions 29 to 523 of the family's 1533-position model. The record is from RNAcentral.